GCCGGUGUAGCUCAGCCCGGUAGAGCGUCUGCCUCGUAAGCAGGGGGUCCCUGGUUCAAAUCCAGGUGUCGGCA
Molecule: transfer RNA, 74 nt
Filed under: Caulobacter phage CcrBL9
Lineage: Duplodnaviria; Heunggongvirae; Uroviricota; Caudoviricetes; Jeanschmidtviridae
Also listed under: 1 other name
Rfam family: tRNA
About the family: Transfer RNA (tRNA) molecules are approximately 80 nucleotides in length. Their secondary structure includes four short double-helical elements and three loops (D, anti-codon, and T loops).
Source: Rfam by way of RNAcentral